Molecule: long non-coding RNA, 2725 nt
Organism: Panonychus citri (citrus red mite)
Lineage: Eukaryota; Metazoa; Arthropoda; Arachnida; Trombidiformes; Tetranychidae
Exons: 6
Source: RefSeq, a predicted model, not a curated record
CUUUGAUUGUUUCCAAGGGAAAGAAAAAGAGAAUAGAAUUUCCAUCGCCCUCUGUCUUAUUCUCUGUCUUUUUUUCUUCUCUUCUCUCAUUGGUCAAUUUUACUUAUUCUUUUUUAUUCUUUUCUAAAUAAUUUCAGUUCUUAUUUACCAAUUAACGGAAGUUGAGUUAAUUUAAAUUCUUAAUUGUUUUCAAUUUGAUUGAUUCUAAAAUCGAUUUGAUUUCAUUUCAAUUCUCAAGAUCAACUAAUUGUUUCAACUCGGAUUCAGUUGAUCUCGAUUGGUGAAGUUUGGUGAUUCUUUUUGAAUCUUUGUUGUCACUUGUUGAUUUGUGUCUUAAUUGUUGCCGUUGUUUUAAAUUGUAUUAAUUUAAAUUGCAACUCUUUCUUUUCAACAUCUUAAUCAUCAUCAUCAUAUUCCUUUUAUAUGGGAAAAAGUUUGUUAACAAUUAGUGAGAUGAUAAUUGUUCAACUUUCAACCUUAAAUCAUAAACAUUAGGAUCAUAAAGAGUUGACUCUUUAUGUCGCCAUAUUGGAUUGUGUAUCUUUUUCGCUCAUUUGAAUUGAUAUUUUUGUUAAAUCAGAAAAUUAAGAAGGUGGAAAAGGUUAAAUGAACAAUUAAUGAGCCAUUUAUUUUAACAAUCGAUGGGUGAAAGCACAAAAAUAAUCAACUGACCAGUUUGUUUGGAUAAUCUGAACAUGGGUGUGGAAGGAGAGCCUUAAUGCCAACAAUGGACAAAGAUCAAACCUUAUUAUCAAGUUACUCCAGAUAAAUUAAAGACACAAAUCAAUCAAAGAUCUGAAGAGUAUUGUUACAAUUGAUUAUGUCCAUCCGAUCGCAAGGGUUACUACUGAGUUGACUUUAAUUGAUGGUCCACCAUUCGUGAAAAUUUGAUAUUUACAUGUUGAAAUUUAUUUAUAACAAUUUGGUGCUCAUUUCUAAUUGUAACUGUUACAUCAACAUGCAAAAAUUAUCUUCGUUACAAUAAACAAAAGUGAAUACAAAUGUUUAUGUAAACAUUUUUAUAGGAACAACAACAACAAUCAACAAACAAUUAUUACGAUUCACGAUUUUUUAUAUGAAGAUUUAAGAAAAACUAGGAGUCGUACAGACAUGGAAAAAAUAUCAACAGAAACAAGACAAAAAUCUUCAACAACAAAAAAUAGAGCCAAUGUCAUAAGGGGUCAGGGUCAAAAGUUAUUAAUUAAUGAAAAAAAUGUGAAAAAUGUUAAUUAGAUUAAUAAGAGGAUUAGAUGGAAAAGAAAGAGAAAAGGGGAAGAGAGAGAGAGAAGGGAUGAAUUAUGACGUUCGGGGCAAUGAAAGGGGAAGAGAAAAGAAAGAGCAUCAGAUUCAUGUAAGUUUUUCAAUUGUAUCAACCGCACGCCCUGGGAUAUUAAAACUUUGAGAGGUUAAUCAAAGAUACGAUUAACUACUCUGUUAAAAUUAAGGUUGACAAAAUUUUCAAGAAAAAAGACAGAAAAGAUGACAUUCAUGAAUCCAUCUCCUAAAAUUAUUCAGAAAAGCGAUCAUGUUGAUCGCUUGGUUUUCCUUGUUAUUAUUAUUGAUUAUCUUUUAUCUUAAUUGGUUGUAAGAUUUAAUAAGAUGCUGAUUAUGAUAUAAUUUACCUUCCGGUUGGUGUAUAAACGAUGGAGAUGAUUAAUAUUAAUCAUAACAAUAAAGGUUCUUAUGUUACCUGAAGAAAAAAGGAGAUUAUUACCAUUUGGGAGGAAGAAGAAAUUGAAACAAAAAGUGUUCCAAAUGAAAAGAAAAGAAAAGGAGGAGACCAAGGAUAGAAAAGAGCACCGAGAGGUUCAUGGUAUCAUUGGAGAAUCACCGAUAAGCGAAUAUUUAAAUAAUAGAAUAGAUUAGUUGAUGAUGAAGAAGAUUAACUGAUAAUUUGGAUAAGAUGGUUAAGAUAUAAGUGAGAGAGAAAAGAGAGUUGUGAAUUAACUCAAAUAUAAUCUUUUUGUUUGAUUCCAAACCCAAGAGAUGGAAAAGAUGAACAUGAAGCUUAUCCUGAAAUCUACGAUGAUUAUUUUUACAUGUUGACCAGAGAUGAUUUCAACUCUCUCUCUCCCUGAACGUGCUGAUUCAACAAAAAGCUCAAAAUUUUCUCAUGAUGAUACUUCAAAACAAGAUAAACAUGAACACCAUCAGUAACAAACAAGAAUCACUUCAUAAAUAUGAUAAUACAAUUUAAAUGGAAGGACUGAAAACAAUCAAUUCAAUCGACCUGAUUUCUCAAUCUACUGGACAAUCAACAAUGAAUAUUUUGUUUUCUCUCUCUACAAUUACCUUAAAAUCAUUGACCAUAUAUACAUAAUAUUUUAAUAAUAAUAUAAGAGUGACCAUUAACAUUAGCAAAGUUCAAUUCUGUCAGUUAUCACAAUCAAUUGAUAACGUUAAGAAAUACAUAUCGGAGCAAAAGGAGAAAUCAAAUAUACACUCACUCACCAUACAAUCAACUUUAAUACUCAAACAAUCAAAGGAGAUCAAACUUCAAUCACUAUUAUCAACACUUGUAAUCACAAUUAAACCUCCCUCUCAAUCUUUAAAUUGUGAUUAACCAUUAUUGGUCAUUUGAUAAUCACCUUAAUCGAAAUGGUUUGUUUUCAAAUCUCCUCUUAAUCCUUUAUAAAUAUAAAAGGUUAACAAUUUACGAUUAACCUUUUUUGUUCAUCUUAAAUUGUAUUUAGUUAAUAUCAAUUUAAUUGAUAGUUUCAUUGUA